AUUUGAAAUCUGGCGUCUUUGGCGUCCGAGUUGUAAUUUGCAGAGGGCGCUUUGGCAUUGGCAGCGGUCCAAGUUCCUUGGAACAGGACGUCACAGAGGGUGAGAAUCCCGUACGUGGUCGCUAGCCUUUACCGUGUAAAGCCCCUUCGACGAGUCGAGUUGUUUGGGAAUGCAGCUCUAAAUGGGAGGUAAAUUUCUUCUAAAGCUAAAUACUGGCCAGAGACCGAUAGCGCACAAGUAGAGUGAUCGAAAGAUGAAAAGCACUUUGGAAAGAGAGUUAAAAAGCACGUGAAAUUGUUGAAAGGGAAGCGCUUGCAGCCAGACUUGCCUGUAGUUGCUCAUCCGGGUUUUUACCCGGUGCACUCUUCUAUAGGCAGGCCAGCAUCAGUUUGGGCGGUUGGAUAAAGGUCUCUGUCAUGUACCUCUCUUCGGGGAGAACUUAUAGGGGAGACGACAUGCAACCAGCCUGGACUGAGGUCCGCGCAUCUGCUAGGAUGCUGGCGUAAUGGCUGUAAGCGGCCCGUCUUGAAACACGGACCAAGGAGUCUAACAUCUAUGCGAGUGUUUGGGUGUCAAGCCCGAGCGCGUAAUGAAAGUGAACGGAGGUGGGAACCUUUCUGGGUGCACCAUCGACCGAUCCUGAUGUCUUCGGAUGGAUUUGAGUAAGAGCAUAGCUGUUGGGACCCGAAAGAUGGUGAACUAUGCUUGAAUAGGGUGAAGCCAGAGGAAACUCUGGUGGAGGCUCGCAGCGGUUCUGACGUGCAAAUCGAUCGUCAAAUUUGGGCAUAGGGGCGAAAGACUAAUCGAA
Molecule: ribosomal RNA, 808 nt
Filed under: Microsphaeropsis spartii-juncei
Lineage: Eukaryota; Fungi; Ascomycota; Dothideomycetes; Pleosporales; Didymellaceae
Description: eukaryotic LSU rRNA
Rfam family: Eukaryotic large subunit ribosomal RNA
Source: RNAcentral